This 320-nucleotide long non-coding RNA is filed under the name Zostera marina. Its description in RNAcentral is "long non-coding RNA (ZMAR_LNC002651)". The record is from RNAcentral. Lineage: Eukaryota; Viridiplantae; Streptophyta; Magnoliopsida; Alismatales; Zosteraceae.
UUUGACCCAUUUGUUGAUGAUGAAUCAACUGAAAGGAUGUAUGCUAGUCUUCCUCCAUACAUUGAUCGAUUCACUUUCGAAAAGUGUGUGGAAGAAUUACGGACUACAGAAGAAUUUAAGGUAUUGUUUUUUAUACAUCCAUACUUCAAUAAUUUACUAUUUUAUAUUGUAAGUUGUUUAACAUUAUAUAUGAAUUCGCAGAGAAAAUCAAAAAUAAACAAAACAAACCGGACUAAGAAGAUACUAAACCAUAAAACAGGGUCAAUUCCUUUCAGUGCAAUAAGAGAAAAUCUGCAAAGCGAAGGCAUUGAGGCAUCACG